GAUGAACGCUGGCGGCGUGCUUAACACAUGCAAGUCGAACGGUGAAGGCGGAGCUUGCUCUGCUGGAUCAGUGGCGAACGGGUGAGUAACACGUGGGCAAUCUGCCCCUGACUCUGGGAUAAGCGCUGGAAACGGCGUCUAAUACUGGAUACGAGCUGCGAAGGCAUCUUCAGCAGCUGGAAAGAAUUUCGGUCAGGGAUGAGCUCGCGGCCUAUCAGCUUGUUGGUGAGGUAAUGGCUCACCAAGGCGUCGACGGGUAGCCGGCCUGAGAGGGUGACCGGCCACACUGGGACUGAGACACGGCCCAGACUCCUACGGGAGGCAGCAGUGGGGAAUAUUGCACAAUGGGCGAAAGCCUGAUGCAGCAACGCCGCGUGAGGGACGACGGCCUUCGGGUUGUAAACCUCUUUUAGCAGGGAAGAAGCGAAAGUGACGGUACCUGCAGAAAAAGCGCCGGCUAACUACGUG
This 468-nucleotide ribosomal RNA is filed under the name uncultured bacterium. RNAcentral's name for it is "partial 16S ribosomal RNA". It matches the Rfam family "Bacterial small subunit ribosomal RNA", at positions 28 to 507 of the family's 1533-position model. The record is from RNAcentral.